AGUUGGGUCCACCUCCGAAUAAAGAAGCUUCUUCCCAGGCCAGUGGCACAAGCUUAAGUUUGUCUUCUGAAUUUGUCUUCUAAGUCCUUCCAAAAGUUGCCGACCACACAGCAGCCAAAUAUCCGUUAGGAGGUGUCAUUCUCUUCCUUACAACUCCAGUGGCUUAUCAUCACUCUUAGAAUGAGAGGUAGGGGAAGGGAGAAGGGAGAAACAGACAGAGACAGAGAUUGAUUCAAACUUUUUGCCAUCCCUACAGGAUUCUGUGAUCUGGCCCCUGCCUGCCUAUUUAUCUAAUCUCAUGUGUACGUCCCUCCCUCUGGUUAUUCUGACAUUUACACUGGAUAUUCUCUCUGCCUGAAUCACUCUUUCCCAGAAUCUUUGCAUAGCUGUCAUUCAAUCCUAAGCUCAAAUAUCACCUAUUGGUAGGCCUGCAAGAAUUAGCAAAUAGAAAUACAGGACACCAAAUUCAAAUGUAACUGUACGUUCUGUAUUUUAUCUGGUGACCCUUCCUGCUGUGAGAACUCAUUCCUGUCUAAUUUGUCUAAAUCAGCCACCUUUCACCCUUUCACAGUUAUUCUGUUACAGUAUUCUGUUUUAUUUAUUUCAUGGCAUUUAUCACUAGUUGAAUUUUUUUUACAAGUUUAUUGGCUGCUUCCCCCAAACUAGAAUGUAAGAUUCUUAAAAGCAG
RNAcentral lists this long non-coding RNA (688 nucleotides) under Homo sapiens (human). Its description in RNAcentral is "HSALNT0291455". The record is from RNAcentral. Lineage: Eukaryota; Metazoa; Chordata; Mammalia; Primates; Hominidae.